CCUACGGGGGACAGCAGUCGAGAAUCAUUCACAAUGGGGGAAACCCUGAUGGUGCGACGCCGCGUGGGGGAAUGAAGGUCUUCGGAUUGUAAACCCCUGUCAUGUGGGAGCAAAUUAAAAAGAUAGUACCACAAGAGGAAGAGACGGCUAACUCUGUGCCAGCAGCCGCGGUAAUACAGAGGUCUCAAGCGUUGUUCGGAAUCACUGGGCGUAAAGCGUGCGUAGGCUGUUUCGUAAGUCGUGUGUGAAAGGCGCGGGCUCAACCCGCGGACGGCACAUGAUACUGCGAGACUAGAGUAAGGGAGGGGGAACCGGAAUUCUCGGUGUAGCAGUGAAAUGCGUAGAUAUCGAGAGGAACACUCGUGGCGAAGGCGGGUUCCUGGACAUUAACUGACGCUGAGGCACAAAGGCCAGGGGAGCGAAAGGGAUUAGAUACCCGAGUAGUC
This 446-nucleotide ribosomal RNA is filed under the name uncultured bacterium. RNAcentral's name for it is "partial 16S ribosomal RNA". It matches the Rfam family "Bacterial small subunit ribosomal RNA", at positions 338 to 795 of the family's 1533-position model. The record is from RNAcentral.